This 254-nucleotide ribosomal RNA is filed under the name uncultured bacterium. Its description in RNAcentral is "partial 16S ribosomal RNA". It matches the Rfam family "Bacterial small subunit ribosomal RNA", at positions 524 to 776 of the family's 1533-position model. The record is from RNAcentral.
UACGGGGGGAGCAAGCGUUGUUCGGAUUUACUGGGCGUAAAGGGCGCGUAGGCGGUCGUGACAAGUCACUUGUGAAAUCUCCGGGCUUAACUCGGAACGGUCAAGUGAUACUGUCGGACUAGAGUACAGAAGGGGCAACUGGAAUUCUCGGUGUAGCGGUGAAAUGCGUAGAUAUCGAGAGGAACACCUGCGGCGAAGGCGGGUUGCUGGGCUGAUACUGACGCUGAGGCGCGAAAGCCAAGGGAGCGAACGGG